AGAGUUUGAUCAUGGCUCAGACUGAACGCUGGCGGCAUGGCUAAAGCAUGCAAGUCGAACGGGCCCGCAAGGGCCAGUGGCGGACGGGUUAGUAAUGCGAUCGAACGUACCCCGAGGUGGGGGAUAGCGGUGGGAAACUGCCGGUAAUACCCCCGAGUCCUGGAUAGCAGUGGGAAACCGCUGGUAACACAGGAUGACAUCGGUAGUCCGCAUGGCCGGCCGAUCAAAGUUUACGCUCGGGGAGCAGGAUACAUCCUAUCAGCUUGUUGGUGAGGUAACGGCUUACCAAGGCGAAGACGGGUAGCGGGUGUGAGAGCAUGACCCGCCGCAUCGGGACUGAGACACUGCCCGGACUCCUACGGGAGGCUGCAGUAACGAAUAUUCCGCAAUGCGCGAAAGCGUGACGGAGCAAUGCCGCGUGCGGGAUGAAGCCCCUUGGGGUGUAAACCGCUGUCAGGGUUUAGGAAUCAAUGACCAGACCCAAAGGAAGGACCGGCUAACUCUGUGCCAGCAGCCGCGGUAAUA
This 525-nucleotide ribosomal RNA is filed under the name uncultured bacterium. Its description in RNAcentral is "bacterial SSU rRNA". It matches the Rfam family "Bacterial small subunit ribosomal RNA", at positions 8 to 525 of the family's 1533-position model. The record is from RNAcentral.